RNAcentral lists this ribosomal RNA (657 nucleotides) under Corynebacterium diphtheriae. Its description in RNAcentral is "bacterial SSU rRNA". It matches the Rfam family "Bacterial small subunit ribosomal RNA", at positions 893 to 1533 of the family's 1533-position model. Lineage: Bacteria; Bacillati; Actinomycetota; Actinomycetes; Mycobacteriales; Corynebacteriaceae. The record is from RNAcentral.
GCUAAAACUCAAAGGAAUUGACGGGGGCCCGCCACAAGCGGCGGAGCAUGUGGAUUAAUUCGAUGCAACGCGAAGAACCUUACCUGGGCUUGACAUAUGCAGGAUCGGCGUAGAGAUACGUUUUCCUUUGUGGUCUGUAUACAGGUGGUGCAUGGUUGUCGUCAGCUCGUGUCGUGAGAUGUUGGGUUAAGUCCCGCAACGAGCGCAACCCUUGUCUUAUGUUGCCAGCAUGUUAUGGUGGGGACUCAUGAGAGACUGCCGGGGUUAACUCGGAGGAAGGUGGGGAUGACGUCAAAUCAUCAUGCCCCUUAUGUCCAGGGCUUCACACAUGCUACAAUGGUCGGUACAACGCGCUGCGAGCCUGUGAGGGUGAGCGAAUCGCUGAAAGCCGGCCUCAGUUCGGAUUGGGGUCUGCAACUCGACCCCAUGAAGUCGGAGUCGCUAGUAAUCGCAGAUCAGCAACGCUGCGGUGAAUACGUUCCCGGGCCUUGUACACACCGCCCGUCACGUCAUGAAAGUUGGUAACACCCGAAGCCAGUGGCCUAACCUUUGUGGGAGGAGCUGUCGAAGGUGGGAUCGGCGAUUGGGACGAAGUCGUAACAAGGUAGCCGUACCGGAAGGUGCGGCUGGAUCACCUCCUUAAUCACUAGUGAAUUC